This is a long non-coding RNA of Bos taurus (domestic cattle), 2929 nucleotides long. The record is from Ensembl. NCBI's taxonomy places the organism in Eukaryota, Metazoa, Chordata, Mammalia, Artiodactyla, Bovidae.
GGGGGGCAGUUUCUCAUCGUCCGAGACUCCCAGCCUGUUUGUGCAUUUUUUCCGGGAGUCUAGGCUCCGAGGCCAACUUCGCUCCCGGGUUAAGACGGCCCUGGGCACGGAGGACGGGUGGAUGCGUGGGAGAUGGUAUCCAGCUGGGGACCCUGCCCCUCUGAACCGGGAGUUCCGGGCUGCCCCCGGGGACAUCCCAGGCCGAGGCGAGGCGGGAGACCAGGGAGAAGACCCGGGCCAGCGAUCCCUUUUCAGAUGGCUUCUCAACGAGCGCCUCGGAGCCGCUGUCCUGGAGCCGCCGGGGUUAGGGGAAUGACAUUUGGGUGAGAAGGGGCGGCUCCAGAUCCGAAGGGUACCCCACUCCCUCACCCCUGGCCAGGGUCCCUUUAUCUGCGGAGUCUAGACGGAUGCACAGGCGGAAGCCACCACCCCGGCUCAGACUCCGCUGCUGCUUGCCAAACACAGAGAGCCGACCCGCAGCGAUGGCCCGGGUCCCAUCCCCGAACCGUCCCCUCAACCCCGGUCCCCCCCGGCCAGAGCCUGGCCUACCCCCCCACUCCGCCCCGUCGGUCCCAGCGCAGAGGGUGAAGCCCCGCCGCCGGGAGCCUCAGGCCUCCUACAGGAAGACGCAUCGUGGGACCGUGGGCCAAAUCCUCAUGGAAAAAGCUUUUAGGAUGGGGGAGAUGUGGCGUGAGGGUUGGGGCCGUCGGGGGACGUCGCAUCUUGGACAGAAACCACCUCAGGUCCAUGGGCGGACGCGGAGCCCACGGGUGAAACAGCGCUUCUUUCUGUCUCCUCACCCUCCUUUCCUUCUUUAAUUUCCACCGCUCUGGACAGCGUGCCUACCCGGUGCCAGCUCCUGAGAGGCCCUCGGGGCACCAAGGUGAACAAAACCGGGCGGCCGCUGGAGCUGGGGACAAACUAGAAGAUUCCAGGCCUGGGCGGGCAGGCUGAGGGCCACAGUGGGGAACGCGGUCAAAGACACCACCGGGGAUGGUUGGCGGGGGCCUGAGUGAGGUUCCAACUGCCUAGGCCUCUGCAUCUUGAGGCCCUGGCGUUCUGUGCGACCUGCCCGUGGUGAUCCCCGUGGCCUCCAGUGUCCUCCGGGCUGACUGGGAACCUGGCAUCCCCGAGGUCGGGAGGACGGGGUGGGGCUGCGGACAGGAGAGAUGGACGCCCGAGCGAGCCUUGAACCGAAAGUGAACCCCGGGAGCACCGACCUCCUGUAGUCCGGGGCUUUCUCUCUGAAGCCAAAAAUACCCCGGGUCAUAGUUUGCUUUUUCUUUUCUAAGUAGCCAUAUUUACAUAAAUCCCCACUGGAAAUUUCCACCUUUCAAGACUGACCGCUGUUUUUGGUGUUUCCAGAGGCUAAAUGAAGUCAGGGGAUUUUUACAAGUUGAAGUGACCCUCCCCCUCUGCCCAGGCAGAGAGAUGAGUUUGCUAACCCUCCCCUCCUCUAACCCCAGGCCAGCUGUGCCUAUCAAAGUACCCAGAGGGCUGGGCUGGGGGUCCCCAGGGAUGGGGCUGUGGUCCUGGAGUGGGGAAGUGGACCCCCAGGAGUGGGCAACCCCUCAGCCCUCAUCCCUGGGUAUUUCACCACCAAAGUUAAGCUCUAUCUUCAGAGUUCCCCACUUCCUCCUUUCCUUCCUUGGAAAUUCGGUUGCAAAUAUCACUACAUGGUGUAACCUUUAAAGGUAAACUUCUGAAAUGGCCAGCUCCAAAUAAAAACUAGCCUUUUGUGAGGGAUCCAACUCCAAACCAAACUGGUUUUCCCUUUUAGAAAUGCUCCCCUUUUACCACAAAGACAAGAGAUGCUCAGUGUUGUGAGAGAACACACAAUUAGGCCUUGGGGAUUUUUAAGUCAACAUUAUAUGUACAAAAUCUACCCAAAAAGGAGAAAGCAGCUUAUCAAAACUGCCAACGGACUCAGAACUCUUAAUAGGUAACAUUUUACAGAACUGUAUUUGAUCCAAGAUAGUUAAGUUUCAAUGGAAUAGCUGAAUUCUGUUCUUUUGAUUGAUGAUGUUUAAGUUUUUAAAUAUUAAUAUUCCUUCUUUCUCUUGAGCUUUUUAUUUUGUAUUGGGGUAUAGCCAAUUGACAAUGUUGUGAUAGUUAAGUUUUAUAUAUGUAUGGCAAUUAAACAGCUGGUUGAUUCAGUUGAAUAAUUUGUCCUUGGGCUAUUUAAAAAAAAAUUCACUAUUUUAGUUAUAUUUCUCAAAGAGGCCACCUAACUGUAAUAGCUAUAACAGGAAGGUCUUAAAAAAUUACAAGCAGUGUAUUUAAAGACUGAAAACUGAAUGCACCUGUAAUGGCACACUCCCCACAAAAUUUGUUUAGAAAGCAAAGUGAGAUGACCUAACGGUGGAGCCAUGCAUGAACCCUCCCCAUGCAUGCGUGUGUGCUAAGUCACUUCAGACUCUUUGCAACCCCACGGACUGCAGCCUGCCAGGCUCCUCUGACCAUGGGGAUUCUUCAGGCAAGAAAUACUGAAGUGGGUUGCCAUGCCCUCCUCCAAGGGAUAUUCCCAACCCAAGGAUCAAACCCACGUCUCUUAUGUCUCCUGCAUUGGCAGCACCUGAAACAAGACGCAAGGAGGGUGGGCACAACCUUUGGAAGAUACAGCCAUGAGGACACACCAGAAACUGGCUAGAACCAACCCCAUAGACAGCAGCCCACCAGGCUCCUCGUCCCUGGGAUUCUCCAGGCAAGAACAUUGGAGUGGGCUGCCAUCUCCUCCAAUGCAUGAAAGUGAAAAGUGAAAGUGAAGUCGCUCAGUUGUGUCCGACUCCCAGCGACCCCAUGGACUGCAGCCUACCAGGCCCCUCCGUCCAUGGGAUUUUCCAGGCAAGAGUACUGCAGUGGGUUGCCAUUGCCUUUCUAAAUAAAUCCAAUUCGUACCUAUCACUUUGUCUCUCACUGAAUUAUUUCU